CCAGGCUUGAACAGCGAGUGACCACUCACGAAAGUGAGCUUCCGCAAGGACACUCGUAGAGGUGCUGCAUGGCUGUCGUCAGCUCGUGUCGUGAGAUGUUGGGUUAAGUCCCGCAACGAGCGCAACCCUUGUCUGCUGUUGCCAUCACGUUAUGGUGGGCACUCUGCAGAGACUGCCGGUGAUAAACCGGAGGAAGGUGGGGAUGACGUCAAGUCAGCAUGGCCUUUAUGUCUGGGGCUACACACGUGCUACAAUGGCCGAUACAAACCGUCGCGAGCCCGCAAGGGGGAGCUAAUCGGAGAAAGUCGGUCUCAGUUCGGAUUGUCGGCUGCAACUCGCCGGCAUGAAGUUGGAAUCGCUAGUAAUCGCGGAUCAGCACGCCGCGGUGAAUACGUUCCC
This 399-nucleotide ribosomal RNA is filed under the name uncultured soil bacterium. Its description in RNAcentral is "bacterial SSU rRNA". It matches the Rfam family "Bacterial small subunit ribosomal RNA", at positions 975 to 1375 of the family's 1533-position model. The record is from RNAcentral.